Molecule: small nuclear RNA, 167 nt
Organism: Mastomys coucha (southern multimammate mouse)
Lineage: Eukaryota; Metazoa; Chordata; Mammalia; Rodentia; Muridae
Product: U1 spliceosomal RNA
Exons: 1
Source: RefSeq, a predicted model, not a curated record
AAAGUUACAUGUGGCAGGGGAGAUACCAUGAUCACAAAGAUGGUUUUCCCAGGGCGAGGCUUAUCCAUUGCACUCCGGAGGUGCUGACCCCUGCGAUCUCCCCAAAUGUGGAGAAACUCUAUUGCAGAAUUUGUGGUAGUGAGGGACUGCAUUCGUGCUCUCCCCUG